This 274-nucleotide ribosomal RNA is filed under the name uncultured bacterium. RNAcentral's name for it is "partial 16S ribosomal RNA". It matches the Rfam family "Bacterial small subunit ribosomal RNA", at positions 523 to 796 of the family's 1533-position model. The record is from RNAcentral.
AGACGGAGGGAGCAAGCGUUGCCCGGAAUCACUGGGCGUAAAGGGCGUGUAGGCGGGACAGCAAGUCGGGUGUGAAAGCCCUGGGCUCAACCUAGGAAGGGCAUUCGAUACUACUGUUCUUGAGUAUGACAGAGGAAAGCGGAAUUCCCGGUGUAGCGGUGAAAUGCGUAGAUAUCGGGAAGAACACCUGUGGCGAAGGCGGCUUUCUGGGUCACAACUGCCGCUGAGACGCGAAAGCGUGGGUAGCGAACCGAAUUAGAAACCCGGGUAGUCC